Molecule: ribosomal RNA, 470 nt
Filed under: uncultured bacterium
Lineage: Bacteria
Description: bacterial SSU rRNA
Rfam family: Bacterial small subunit ribosomal RNA
Source: RNAcentral
AGGGUUUGAUCAUGGCUCAGAACGAACGCUGGCGGCAGGCCUCAUACAUGCAAGUCGAGCGGUCCUUCGGGACAGCGGCGAACGGGUUAGUAACGCGUGGGAACGUGCCCUUUAGUACGGAAUAGCCAUUGGAAACGAUGAUUAAUACCGUAUACGCCCCAAGGGGGAAAGAUUUAUCGCUAAAGGAUCGGCCCGCGUUAGAUUAGGUAGUUGGUAGGGUAACGGCCUACCAAGCCGACGAUCUAUAGCUGGUUUGAGAGGAUGAUCAGCAACACUGGGACUGAGACACGGCCCAGACUUCUACGGAAGGCAGCAGUAGGGAAUCUUGGACAAUGGGCGAAAGCCUGAUCCAGCCAUGCCGCGUGAGUGAUGAAGGCCCUAGGGUUGUAAAGCUCUUUCGCCAGGGAAGAUAAUGACGGUACCUGGUAAAGAAACCCCGGCUAACUCCGUGCCAGCCGCCGCGGUAAUAC